AUGUUACUCCUCUUCUUCUUUUUCAUUAUCAUUGAUGAUAAUGCAGAGGCCGCUGAGAGCAUUACACCAACCCGAACCAGCGUAUUUUCAGCUGAAGGCAGCAACAUCACACUGUCCUGUACAUAUCCAGAUUCAGCACGAGAUCUCCACUGGUAUAAACAAAAACCUGGAUCAAAACCAGAGUUUCUGCUGAUGAUUAAUAAAGUUAGUAGUCAUGUCACUCCAGCUGAACCACCUCACCCAAGAAUCUUCAUCAAACUUGACAAAGAGAAAAAGAUUGUGGAUCUAGACAUCAUCACUGCUGCAGUAUCUGAUUCUGCAAUGUACUACUGUGCCAUGGAGCCCACAGUGACAGGAAAUUCAACUAUACUGUACUAA
Trichomycterus rosablanca is the source of this 378-nucleotide non-coding RNA. The record is from the annotation of a RefSeq genome assembly. NCBI's taxonomy places the organism in Eukaryota, Metazoa, Chordata, Actinopteri, Siluriformes, Trichomycteridae.